CAACCCUCGAGCCCCUCCGGGCUUGGUGUUGGGGAUCGGCCACCGCCUGUUCGGCUGGCCGGCCCCGAAAUAGAGUGGCGGUCUCGCCGCAGCGUCCUCUGCGUAGUAGCACACAUCUCGCACUGGAACGCGGCGCGGCCACGCCGUAAAGCAAAGGGGCUUGCGCCCCUUUCUCCUCAA
This 180-nucleotide unclassified non-coding RNA is filed under the name uncultured Nectriaceae. RNAcentral's name for it is "sequence contains ITS2". The record is from RNAcentral. Lineage: Eukaryota; Fungi; Ascomycota; Sordariomycetes; Hypocreales; Nectriaceae.